AGGGUAUCUGCAGGUUUCAGCAAGUCAAAUUUAAGACUUUUUAAGACCUUUUUAAUACCACCUUGAAUGAAAUUUAAGACCUUAAACCCGCGAUGGCGGGGGGGAUCCCGCUGUAUUACAACCCAAGCAUAGCAUGUGUGUCACUCAAUGAGACUCAUUCAAUUUUACUUUCCGUCUGUUUAUUGAACAUAAAGUGAUACUCCAGGGCUCCGGACUAACUUUUUCCUUGGGUGCACUGGUGCGCCUACAUUUUUAAUUUGGGUGCACCAGCACGUAUUUAUGGUGCACCCAAGUUGUAAGUUGUUGAGAGGGGGGAGACAGCGUCUGGGCCCCCGGGCAGCUGCACCGGUUGCACCGUCGAUAUUUACGCCACUUAUUAAUAAUAUUUUCACCAUUAAAUAAAUGCCUUCAGUAAGACCUGGGGGGUAUACCACGAACCUCGUUGAACAUACCCAGGCUUUCUUGGGAAAACCUGGCUCGACAGAGCCGCAACUCGCAAUCACAGUUAAAUGGUACCACGACGCUCACUUUAGAUUAAAUUAGUUGAACCAGGUUUUCCGCUUUAGGUUCAAUGCGCGUUCACAUAAAAGGGGCCGUUGUAUUUCAUCCAAGGCGAGCAAUGUAUUAUUAUGAACUCCUACGAGGAAUUCAAAGUUCAAAUCACAGCCAAGGGGAACACGGUUGCCCAUAAUAUGGCUAGGGUGG
Molecule: long non-coding RNA, 705 nt
Organism: Gadus macrocephalus (Pacific cod)
Lineage: Eukaryota; Metazoa; Chordata; Actinopteri; Gadiformes; Gadidae
Exons: 2
Source: RefSeq, a predicted model, not a curated record